This 279-nucleotide ribosomal RNA is filed under the name uncultured bacterium. RNAcentral describes it as "partial 16S ribosomal RNA". It matches the Rfam family "Bacterial small subunit ribosomal RNA", at positions 506 to 784 of the family's 1533-position model. The record is from RNAcentral.
UGCCAGCAGCCGCGGUAAUACGGAGGAUCCAAGCGUUAUCCGGAAUCAUUGGGUUUAAAGCGCGCGUAGGCGGAUUGGAAAGUUGGGGGUGAAAUCCCGGGGCUCAACCCCGGAACUGCCUCCAAAACUGCCAGUCUAGAGUUCGAGAGAGGUGAGUGGAACUCCAAGUGUAGAGGUGAAAUUCGUAGAUAUUUGGAAGAACACCAGUGGCGAAGGCGGCUCACUGGCUCGAUACUGACGCUGAGGUGCGAAAGUGUGGGGAGCAAACAGGAUUAGAUA